Long non-coding RNA from Polyodon spathula (Mississippi paddlefish), 2047 nucleotides. RefSeq lists it as uncharacterized. NCBI's taxonomy places the organism in Eukaryota, Metazoa, Chordata, Actinopteri, Acipenseriformes, Polyodontidae. The record is from RefSeq and is a predicted model, not a curated record. The transcript is spliced from 3 exons.
AAAUUGUGUGACUGUUGAUCAUGGCAAUUUCUACUCUAGUUGUGCGGCUGUGUGACCCAAGGUCGGCAGCAUUUUUCUUGACUGUAGCUGCCCAUCUUGCACAACUGUCUCCUGGUAGACGUAAGACCUACAUUAAUAAGUAUGAACCAGUGUUAAGAGUUUGUUUUAGAGGUAUUACCCGACUGUCUAUUCAGUCAGGACAAUGAUUUAAAAACAUUUUGUUAACAGAUGAUUAGACAUUUGACAUUUUCAUCAUACAUUAUUUACUUGCUUGUUUAGCCCUCGGCCUCACCUUUUGAGGCAUUUGGAGAUGCCGCAAAAGAUUACAUAUAUAAAGUGAGAAUGAAGUUGUGGGGGAGGAGGUUAACUCAAAGAACAACACAGACAAUAUGAGAAGACAUUAAUCAAAUACUGGAGGAAAGGCUUUGAAAUGCAGAUAUCAUCGAGAACAAUUCACAAAAUACAUCGGAAACAAACGGCUGCAGGCAGUGCUAGGAAACCCUGGGAUGAAAUCUGAUCUCCGUGUCUGACUAAGACAGGGCCAGCAGCCAAGAGCUUUUCCACCCCUGUCUGUCAGUGCCACCCAGCUACCGAGAUAGAGCAGACAGCAGUUCCAUCUACGGGAGCCGGGUGGUAUUACCAAGGAGGGACACAUGGUCAGCCAUCCCCAUGGCACAAGCCCAGGUGGUCAGUGAAGCCAGUGCUGUGAGUUCAUGAUCCCCUGGGAAGCAAUCCCAGCUUCCUCAAACAUUCAUCUCCUGCAGGACUGACUACAAAAUCAAUACAGUGCUACCUCCUGAUUCCACGCUUCACUGACCGUGUGAUCUUUGGGAACGUACUCUUCUGCCUAAUGCAUCUGAUACUAAUCAUCCCGCAAUUCCCCAAAGCUGGGGAUCUGCUUUUCAAAUUUUAAAAAAAUGUAAAUAAAAAGAAGAUAUGUACAUGUAGCAUCAAUUUGGCUCUAGGUGACCUGAGUCCUGGAUAUUAAUUUAAAAUCAGCUCCAACACUGUGUGACAAAGUUCCAAGGCAGAGGAGGCAAAGGAGGUACUGUAGUGAAACACAUACAUGAGCAAUGGUGGGUUUGUUUGGCUCGCCAAAGAACUCCCCCUUCCCUGAUCUUGUGGAGAUUUUGUGCACCUCAGUCUGUGACCCAUAAAUCACUUGAUGUUGAGUGUCUUAGCUUGAAGUAAAGCAAGUAUGUUAUUUGUUUGAGUGUGUGUGAGUGGGCAGGUAAUACAAUCAAUGUGCAGACAAAAUUUGAGAAAAUGUCCCCACAAAGAAAAAACAACGUUGUGGAGACGUCCCGACUUUGUAAAACGCAAUUUUAAGAACUACAAAUUUAAGUGCCAAAAUAUUUCGUUUGUUGUCGACUUUAACUCUGUGUGAAUUUUUGUCUGACUGGAGUUAGAAAUAGUAAAUACAAAUAUAGUGAGAGUCAAUGAGAAGUCCCCACAAAUAUAGGAAUGCAAACAUGUGUGUGCUGGAGAAGAUAGGGCUAGAAAAAACAAAACUUUAUGCCAACUGGCAACUGCUACCCCCAGAGGAUAAAGCAUCCACCAUUCACAUGAAGGUGGAAGUUGUGAGGAGUAGGGUUGCCACCCGGAACACUGCGAAACAGAACAGGAUUUUGAAAUUGCCUUUAAACUGAAGGAAAUCAACACGUGAAUUGAGCGCCAAACCUUUGCUAAAUUGAUUCUGUUGAUUAAUUAUCUCGAAGCAGCAUGACAAAACAAUAAUAUCUUUUAACAAAUUAAAUAAAGUACCAUCAUCAGUAUUUAUUUAUUUAUUAAUAGUUUUAAAAACAUAUAUUUUAAAGUUUAUUUGUAUUUUCUAAUAGUAUAUCGCCUUCUCCCGCUCAAAUCAUUAGUACUGACCAGCUGUUCAUUAUUCCUGACACCAGACAGCAUGAACACCUGAUCAGUGGUAUCAUUUAAUUGGGAGAGUCAGUGUAAAUUAGUGUUAUAUAUUACCAAUUAACAGAAUAAAAAUAGCAACUAUUAAAUAUUGAUAACUGAAAUACUAAUUUUACAAAAUAAAAGAAGUAUC